GAUGAACGCUGGCGGCGUGCCUAAUACAUGCAAGUCGAGCGAACGGACGAGAAGCUUGCUUCUCUGAUGUUAGCGGCGGACGGGUGAGUAACACGUGGAUAACCUACCUAUAAGACUGGGAUAACUUCGGGAAACCGGAGCUAAUACCGGAUAAUAUUUUGAACCGCAUGGUUCAAAAGUGAAAGACGGUCUUGCUGUCACUUAUAGAUGGAUCCGCGCUGCAUUAGCUAGUUGGUAAGGUAACGGCUUACCAAGGCAACGAUGCAUAGCCGACCUGAGAGGGUGAUCGGCCACACUGGAACUGAGACACGGUCCAGACUCCUACGGGAGGCAGCAGUAGGGAAUCUUCCGCAAUGGGCGAAAGCCUGACGGAGCAACGCCGCGUGAGUGAUGAAGGUCUUCGGAUCGUAAAACUCUGUUAUUAGGGAAGAACAUAUGUGUAAGUAACUGUGCACAUCUUGACGGUACCUAAUCAGAAAGCCACGGCUAACUACGUGCCAGCAGCCGCGGUAAUACGUAGGUGGCAAGCGUUAUCCGGAAUUAUUGGGCGUAAGCGCGCGUAGGCGGUUUUUUAAGUCUGAUGUGAAAGCCCACGGCUCAUCCGUGGAGGGUCAUUGGAAACUGGAAAACUUGAGUGCAGAAGAGGAAAGUGGAAUUCCAUGUGUAGCGGUGAAAUGCGCAGAGAUAUGGAGGAACACCAGUGGCGAAGGCGACUUUCUGGUCUGUAACUGACGCUGAUGUGCGAAAGCGUGGGGAUCAAACAGGAUUAGAUACCCUGGUAGUCCACGCCGUAAACGAUGAGUGCUAAGUGUUAGGGGGUUUCCGCCCCUUAGUGCUGCAGCUAACGCAUUAAGCACUCCGCCUGGGGAGUACGACCGCAAGGUUGAAACUCAAAGGAAUUGACGGGGACCCGCACAAGCGGUGGAGCAUGUGGUUUAAUUCGAAGCAACGCGAAGAACCUUACCAAAUCUUGACAUCCUUUGACAACUCUAGAGAUAGAGCCUUCCCCUUCGGGGGACAAAGUGACAGGUGGUGCAUGGUUGUCGUCAGCUCGUGUCGUGAGAUGUUGGGUUAAGUCCCGCAACGAGCGCAACCCUUAAGCUUAGUUGCCAUCAUUAAGUUGGGCACUCUAAGUUGACUGCCGGUGACAAACCGGAGGAAGGUGGGGAUGACGUCAAAUCAUCAUGCCCCUUAUGAUUUGGGCUACACACGUGCUACAAUGGACAAUACAAAGGGCAGCGAAACCGCGAGGUCAAGCAAAUCCCAUAAAGUUGUUCUCAGUUCGGAUUGUAGUCUGCAACUCGACUACAUGAAGCUGGAAUCGCUAGUAAUCGUAGAUCAGCAUGCUACGGUGAAUACGUUCCCGGGUCU
RNAcentral lists this ribosomal RNA (1371 nucleotides) under uncultured bacterium. RNAcentral's name for it is "bacterial SSU rRNA". It matches the Rfam family "Bacterial small subunit ribosomal RNA", at positions 28 to 1381 of the family's 1533-position model. The record is from RNAcentral.